RNAcentral lists this ribosomal RNA (387 nucleotides) under Rhodosorus marinus. RNAcentral's name for it is "partial Bacterial small subunit ribosomal RNA". It matches the Rfam family "Bacterial small subunit ribosomal RNA", at positions 1 to 390 of the family's 1533-position model. The record is from RNAcentral. Lineage: Eukaryota; Rhodophyta; Stylonematophyceae; Stylonematales; Stylonemataceae.
AUGAAGAGUUUGAUCCUGGCUCAGGAUGAACGCUAGCGGCAGGCCUAAUACAUGCAAGUCGAACGGUAGAUUCUACUUCGGUGGAAUUGAGAGUGGCGCACGGGUGCGUAACGCGUAUGCAACCUACCCUUAACUGGGGGAUAGCCCGGAGAAAUUCGGAUUAAUACCCCAUAGUAUUCCAAGAUGGCAUCUGAAAGGAAUUAAAGAUUUAUUGGUUAAGGAUGGGCAUGCGUGACAUUAGCUAGUUGGUAAGGUAAUGGCUUACCAAGGCAACGAUGUCUAGGGGUUCUGAGAGGAUGAUCCCCCACACUGGUACUGAGAUACGGACCAGACUCCUACGGGAGGCAGCAGUAGGGAAUAUUGGUCAAUGGGCGAGAGCCUGAACCA